Molecule: long non-coding RNA, 539 nt
Filed under: Equus asinus (donkey)
Lineage: Eukaryota; Metazoa; Chordata; Mammalia; Perissodactyla; Equidae
Description: lncRNA (ENSEASG00005025867.1)
Source: RNAcentral
AAGCUUCCCUGUGAUUUUAGAGUUUGACCAGGAUUGAGAAAUACUGCCGUAAUUAUAAUGGAUUGAGCACCCAUGACCCAUCCCCACCCCAAGACUAAUACCCAAACUGUUGGGGGACCGGCCAGGAGACUGAAGAGAAGCACAGUGGACGUUCUGUGUGCGGCUGCAUCUCAGAUUGCAGUAGCCCCUGCCAGACUCCUCACGCCCACCUGCGAUAGAACGCUGCUCCUCUCCCCACAUCCCUGCGCUCCUCUGAACCCUGGAGCAGGCAGCAGCGAAGAGUCAGGCUGGAGACUCCUCCCAAACAAGUCAAUGGCGAGCGAAGCAAGCGCUCUAGACCUGUGCGGUCCAAUGCAGCUGCCACCGGACACAGGGGGAGACCCAGCACUUGAAAUGAAGCCAGUGCAAAUUGAGAUGUGCUGUAGCUAUAAAAUACACACCAGAUUUUGAAUACUUAGUAUAAAAAGAGAGUGUAAAAUGUCUCAUUAAUCAUUUUAUGUUGAUUACGUUUUGAAAUGAUACUGUUUUUGAUAUACUGG